RNAcentral lists this ribosomal RNA (252 nucleotides) under uncultured prokaryote. RNAcentral's name for it is "partial 16S ribosomal RNA". It matches the Rfam family "Bacterial small subunit ribosomal RNA", at positions 524 to 775 of the family's 1533-position model. The record is from RNAcentral.
UACGUAGGGAGCAAGCGUUGUCCGGAAUCAUUGGGCGUAAAGCGCAUGUAGGCGGCUUGGUAAGUCUGCUCUGAAAGCCCGGGGCUCAACCCCGGGAGGCGGGUGGAUACCGCCGAGCUCGAGUCCGGAAGAGGCGAGUGGAAUUCCUGGUGUAGCGGUGAAAUGCGCAGAUAUCAGGAGGAACACCAAUGGCGAAGGCAGCUCGCUGGGACGGUACUGACGCUGAGACGCGAAAGCGUGGGGAGCGAACAG